CUGCAGCCAAUUAAGCCAACUGCCCUCCUUUCCCCAAGGGGGCCUGGUGUGCAGUGACUGCAGACAGCAGCCUCCUUGGUAGUGGAUACAGCCUGUUGCUUGUAUGGGUUGCUUGUAUGGGUCCCUUAGGGACCUUGGAGACAGCC
This 146-nucleotide small nucleolar RNA is filed under the name Choloepus hoffmanni (Hoffmann's two-fingered sloth). Its description in RNAcentral is "Small nucleolar RNA SNORA70 (ENSCHOG00000015427.1)". It matches the Rfam family "Small nucleolar RNA SNORA70". From Rfam's summary of the family: snoRNA U70 seems to be exclusive to mammals and is a member of the H/ACA class of snoRNA which contain H (ANANNA) and ACA box motifs. H/ACA box snoRNAs are involved in the conversion of uridines to pseudouridines (5-ribosyluracil) a constituent of structural RNAs (transfer, ribosomal, small nuclear, and small nucleolar). Lineage: Eukaryota; Metazoa; Chordata; Mammalia; Pilosa; Megalonychidae. The record is from RNAcentral.